UAGGGAAUAUUGCGCAAUGGGGGAAACCCUGACGCAGCAACGCCGCGUGAGUGAGGAAGGUCUUCGGAUUGUAAAACUCUGUUCUUAGGGAAAAAUGGUUAUGUAACUAAUAGCGCAUAAUUUGAUGGUACCUAAGUAGAAAGCACCGGCUAACUUCGUGCCAGCAGCCGCGGUAAUACGAAGGGUGCAAGCGUUGUUCGGAAUCAUUGGGCGUAAAGCGCGCGCAGGCGGAUCAGCAAGUCAGAUGUGAAAUCUCGGGGCUCAACCUCGAAACUGCGUCUGAAACUGCAGGUCUAGAAUGUCGGAGGGGGCAGGGGAAUUUCACGUGUAGGGGUAAAAUCCGUAGAGAUGUGAAGGAACACCGGAGGCGAAGGCGCCUGCCUGGACGACUAUUGACGCU
RNAcentral lists this ribosomal RNA (400 nucleotides) under uncultured bacterium. Its description in RNAcentral is "bacterial SSU rRNA". It matches the Rfam family "Bacterial small subunit ribosomal RNA", at positions 355 to 747 of the family's 1533-position model. The record is from RNAcentral.